RNAcentral lists this long non-coding RNA (1655 nucleotides) under Pelobates cultripes (western spadefoot toad). The record is from RNAcentral. Lineage: Eukaryota; Metazoa; Chordata; Amphibia; Anura; Pelobatidae.
AUCAGUUUCUCUACCAUCUCAUCGUCAACAUGUCUUAGUUACAUACACAAACUCCACAACCAUUCUCCAUGUCACAUCCUACCUUCACCCGCAUUAAUCCCAACACACCCUUGAUACAAAUCAGGAUACGCAUAUUUCCUACUCCUGGCACCGUAAUGCCGUUACAACGUAUAUUCAUAUGCCCUGUAAUGGUUAACCCUCACUGCUAAGGCGUCACUGAGACAUUUUUGGAGUAAGAAUAAGUCUUGGUUAGGUUCUGGGUAGUCCAUAUUAUAGGCACCUAGUAUACGCUUAUCACAAUUUUCAAGUUAUAUAACUGUAAUAUUUCCUCAAUCUGAUUAUCACAAUGCCACAGACAGGUAUGACCUACGAUAGGUGAUAUGCCUUGGGCCACACUGUCUAUACUUACACAUGCUUUUCUGCACAAUCUAUGGUUUAUCUACAAACAUAUUUAGGUGGUAUGUCUAAUCAUAUUUUGUGAUUUCCCCAAAUAGGAUGGCAUGGCUAAACACUACAGUUCCUGACUGUGGAUUUGGUCUUGGGGCUUUUCAUCUGCCUAUACAUGGGGGGUACUCAAGAUGUCUUGCAAUAUGCAUUUCCUUAUGUCUUAUAUCAUAUUUUACAGCUUUCAGGUCAGAGCAUCAUUUGCUUUUCAGACCUGGCACCCAUUUGUCAGUGACAGUUCUUUUAGUAGGUUAUAGACCUCUCCUGUGCUGCCUCCUCUAGGGGAUACUGAAGUUUGUUACAACCAUACCAUUCAGAACUACACGUACUCUUAGGCGAAUUCAGAUAUGUUUUAGCUACGAUGGCACCCCUGCAAUAUAGACCUUUUAGUGAGGUUUUGCUGGCUUAUAGAGAUCUAGGUGACCAAUAGAUGUUAAGUGUUGGCCAUCUCUGCCUUGGAGUUAGUGGUUCCGCGAGGCCAACACCCAUCCUCCACGUAUGAGGUAUUACGUCCCCCGGUCCAAUCAUAGUUAGCCGCCUCGCACAGUGGCAUAGAGAGGGCCUCACUUGUCACACCCAAUCUCUCUCGGAAUUUAAAUGUCACCGAGAGGCCAACACCCCUCCAUGACGUUCAGUGGCCACAAAUCCCCUUGUGCCAAAGCAUAGAUCGAGCCUCUCAAGCCACUUGGCAACUAGUAGGGCCUCACCUGUCACCUACCUAGUAAUUGCUUCGCCACUUGGCGCUAGCCAGCCAGUAUGACAAUCCUGAUUGAAGCUAAUUAUUAUGUUGCAGUAUGUUUCCGAACCCUGUAAAGGUUAUGACUUGUCAAUCCCUAGUACUCCAGUCUCGUUCACUACACCUACACGGAAAGGUGACACCUAUCGGGUUCCAUCAGGUCAUGGACCAUGCCUCGUAUUCAGGCGGAACUACGCAGACGCAACGUUCCUUUCUCAGUAAAGGCCGAGAAAACGGAACUGUGCAGGCUCACAUGUAUCAAUACGGAAAUGCUGAUGCUGGGGUAAGCAUGAGUUGCUUGAGCAACAACAACCUCCAUGCAACGUUCUCAGCUCUCGUGUCCUCAAAGGUAUAAAUAUGCGAGACUAUAAAUACGUUGUCGAACCAUGACAUCAACAGCACGCUGACCCUCACAAGGUCCUCUGUAAGCAUACGAUCAUAACUCAAUUCAAUAUUGAACACUUGACCCGGUACG